RNAcentral lists this ribosomal RNA (247 nucleotides) under uncultured bacterium. RNAcentral's name for it is "partial 16S ribosomal RNA". It matches the Rfam family "Bacterial small subunit ribosomal RNA", at positions 29 to 303 of the family's 1533-position model. The record is from RNAcentral.
AGCGAACGCUGGCGGCAGGCUUAACACAUGCAAGUCGAGCGGGCCCUUCGGGGUCAGCGGCGGACGGGUGAGUAACGCGUGGGAACGUGCCUUCUGGUCUGGAAUAACCCUGGGAAACUAGGGCUAAUACCGGAUACGCCCUUUUGGGGAAAGGUUUACUGCCGGAAGAUCGGCCCGCGUCUGAUUAGCUAGUUGGUGGGGUAACGGCCUACCAAGGCGACGAUCAGUAGCUGGUCUGAGAGGAUGA